CAACCCCAGUGAAGCCCUGAGGAGCCAAUUUAAGCCUUUUUUUAGCACAAAACAUUGAAUUUUGUGCGCUUUGAAUUUUGUGGAAAUCCAUCUAGGUGUGUCGGAUCUUGAGGCCAACCCCAGUGAAACCCCGAGGAGCCAAUUUAAGCCUUUUUUUAGCACAAAACAUUGAAUUUUGUGCGCUUUGAAUUUUGUGGAAAUCCAUCUAGGUUUGUCAGAUCUUGAGGCCAAGCCCCAGUGAAACCCCGAGGAGCCAAUUUAAGCUUUUUUUUAGCACAAAACGUUGAAUUUUGUGCGCAUUGAAUUUUGUGGAAAUCCAUCUAGGUGUGUCGGAUCUUGAGGCCAACCCCAGUGAAACCCCGAGGAGCCAAUUUAAGCCUUUUUUUAGCACAAAACAUUGAAUUUUGUGCGCUUUGAAUUUUGUGGAAAUCCAUCUAGGUUUGUCAGAUCUUGAGGCCAAGCCCCAGUGAAACCCCGAGGAGCCAAUUUAAGCUUUUUUUUAGCACAAAACAUUGAAUUUUGUGCGCUUUGAAUUUUGUGGAAAUCCAUCUAGGUUUGUCAGAUCUUGAGGCCAAGCCCCAGUGAAACCCCGAGGAGCCGAUUUAAGCUUUUUUUUAGCACAAAACGUUGAAUUUUGUGCGCAUUGAAUUUUGUGGAAAUCCAUCUAGGUGUGUCGGAUCUUAAGCUUUUUUUUAGCACAAAACAUUGAAUUUUGUGCGCUUUGAAUUUUGUGGAAAUCCAUCUAGAUGUGUCAGAUCUUGAGGCCAACCCCAGUGAAACCCCGAGGAGCCAAUUUAAGCCUUUUUUUAGCACAAAACAUUGAAUUUUGUGCGCUUUGAAUUUUGUGGAAAUCCAUCUAGGUGUGUCGGAUCUUGAGGCCAACCCCAGUGAAACCCCGAGGGGUCGAUUUAAUCUUUUUUUUAGCACAAAACAUUGAAUUUUGUGCGCUUUGAAUUUUGUGGAAAUCCAUCUAGGUGUGUCGGAUCUUGAGGCCAACCCCAGUGAAACCCCGAGGGACCAAUUUAAGCCUUUUUUUAGCAAAAAACAUUAAAUUUUGCUUUGAAUUUUGUGGAAAUCCAUCUAGAUGUGUCGGAUCUUAAGGCCAAGCCCCAGUGAAACCCCGAGGAGCCGAUUUAAGCUUUUUUUUAGCACAAAACAUUGAAUUUUGUGCACAUUGAAUUUUGUGGAAAUCCAUCUAGGUGUGUCGGAUCUUAAGGUUUUUUUUAGCACAAAAAACUGAAUUUUGUGCGCUUUGAAUUUUGUGGAAAUCCAUCAAGGUGUGUCGGAUCUUAAGCUUUUUUUUAGCACAAAACAUUGAAUUUUGUGCGCUUUGAAUUUUGUGGAAAUCCAUCUAGAUGUGUCGGAUCUUGAGGCCAAGCCCCAGUGAAACCCCGAGGGGCCGAUUUAAGCUUUUUUUUAGCACAAAACAUUGAAUUUUGUGCGCAUUGAAUUUUUGUGGAAAUCCAUCUAGGUGUGUCAGAUCUUGAGGCCAACCCCAGUGAAACCCCGAGGGGCCAAUUUAAGCCUUUUUUUAGCACAAAAAACUGAAUUUUGUGUGCAUUGAAUUUUGUGGAAAUCCAUCUAGGUGUGUCGGAUCUUAAGCUUUUUUUUAGCACAAAACAUUGAAUUUUGUGCGCUUUGAAUUUUGUGGAAAUCCAUCUAGAUGUGUCAGAUCUUGAGGCCAACCCCAG
Molecule: non-coding RNA, 1691 nt
Organism: Taeniopygia guttata (zebra finch)
Lineage: Eukaryota; Metazoa; Chordata; Aves; Passeriformes; Estrildidae
Source: RefSeq, a predicted model, not a curated record